This 4155-nucleotide long non-coding RNA is filed under the name Cricetulus griseus (Chinese hamster). RNAcentral's name for it is "lncRNA (ENSCGRG00000026349.1)". Lineage: Eukaryota; Metazoa; Chordata; Mammalia; Rodentia; Cricetidae. The record is from RNAcentral.
AAUCUGAAAGUUUUUCCUGUCAAAUGACAGCAUUUGAAAAGGCAUUUAUAAAGUAGAAAUUAUCGGGUUAUUUUCUUUCAAGAGGAAUCUUAAGUAUAUGGCUCACAUAGACUUCUUUCUUAGCUCUAGCUAAUUUAGUCCUGGCAUGGUUCACCUUUCCUGGAAAUCGGAGAAAAGAAGUAUUCUGGCUCCUAUCUCUAGCUCUGGACAAUGGCCUUACUGGAGAACGAAACAGCUGAGUUCUUGAGGGUAAUGUAGACUUUCUCUGUGAAAAGCCCCUGGCACAUAGCUCAUGUGGCAUGAAUUUGGUGAGAACAAGACAUAACCUUUCACCAACACUGGCUUGCUUAUGUCUCUGGCAUUAUAGGCUAUCAACAAAGGUCAGGUAUACCACUGAAGGCUGAGGAUAUGACAAUUAUUUAUUGAGAACCUAUUGUGUAACAAGCACCUAUUUAAUUCCUAGUCACCCAAUAAAGUAUUUUAUUGUUUUGUUUUGCCCUUGGGCAUUUGUUAUUAAGGUAAGAAUUUGAAGUUACUUUUAAUGCAAUAGAUAAAAUACCCUGAAGUUUUAGAACUAAAGUCAAGUAGAUGUUGGACAGUCAGGACAAGGUUCCAAAGUGAGGAGAAUAGAAAGAACUCCUUUUGUUACCAUCAAGUACAGUAAUCGAAAUAAUGAGGAAUAUGCAGUCCAUUCCCUGACUCUAUGGGAUGCAACUUCUACAUUUAUGCAAAAGACAGCACAAGCAGCUUCUACUCAAUAUAUGCUACAAGAAUGGGAAAGAAGAUAUUCUUAGUGAGCCUAGCCUUGAGAGAAACAAAAAAAGGAAAAAAUAUCACAAAGGAUUCUAAAGCUGGACUCAAUGCCUGUCCUCAAAGAACAAACACAAUCUAUGAAGUUAGAAGGGGCAGAACCAGCUGCAGGAGCUGCAGAGCAAGGUGCAGCAGAAACGGCCACAGCUUCAUCAGCAGGCACGCCCUGGGCAAUGACAUCUUCAUUUUUUUUCCAUUUAGCUCACUAAUGACCUUGUUAAUCCAGUCCUCAUCCACCUCCAUAUCCACACUAUUUAGGGUCUUCUUGAUAUUUUUUGGAUCGGGGAGAGGAAUUGUUCUGAGGUGGACAACAGAUAAGAGGCUACACAGUGCUUGCGCAUGGUGGAGAGACAGGCCUCAUGGGUGUGACCUCUGUGAUGUCAGGCAAUGAAAAGCCAAUUUUUUAUUAAUAAAUAAAAUUUUAAUGAGAGAAUAUUUAACUCACUAAUAACUUAUGCCAUAUAUGAAAAUUUGUGAGAUGAGGCAGCAUGUAAAGAAAGUAAUUGGACCUUCAAACACAGAGUAAGAAAGAAGUCUGAAAAUUCCUCUCAGAAAAACUAGUUACAAAACAGUGAAAAAUUAGAAUAGUGUCAAAAUUAAUGGAAUAGAGAAAAUAUGGUAAACAAAAAACCCAAAUAUGGCUUUUUGAAAACACAAAAUUUAGAGACUUCUAAAGAAGCAGUAAUAAAUGAAAACGAACCCUAGUAAUAUCAAGGGAUAUUUGUUACAGUAUAUGAAGCAAAACUUGGUUUAAAAAAAAAAAAAACGAACAAAUCAACAAAGACCUGCAGUUUUACUUGGAUCCUUUAAAAGCCCUUUUCCAGCAAUAUCAAUUAAGGGAAAAUCAGCAAAGACUGUGAAAUCAAUAAUAGCAUCAGCCAACAUGAUUUAAUAGAAAGAGAUAAACUUUGGACACAAACUUCUCAGGACAAUUCCAAUGUGGCUACCUGAGACCAUUCACCCUCUUGCACCACUCUAGCCAGAACUUCAGACAAGUUUUACCUCUUACUCAGAAAUGGGCUACAAAUGUUGCAGCUAGUCCUCUCAAGACUUAACCAUUGUUUUAGUUUUACAGGGUCCCAUAGAGAUACCAUCAUCCCCAGAUAGCAGGAAAUUCUAAGAACAUGAUCCCCCUUCCCAAUAGCUGGAGUGAAUGGUUUGGUUUUUGUUUUUUUCUCAGGGUUAUGGGUAAUUGUAAUUUUUAGAGAGUUGAUAAUAAGUUGUUAUGGGUCUGGUAGUGGAACAGUAGAGAGUAGACUCAGAGACCUCAUUUAGAGUAGAAAAAGGGGGAUAGAUAUGAAAAGAUAAUAAUGUAGUUUAUAAUAUCUAUUUGUAAACAAAAAAGCUACUAUCAGUUUUAAAUAAUUUACAUUGGUAUGGAAUCUUGUAUAUUGAUACAAAUUCAAAGUUAUUUUUGUUAUACUGUAUAUAUGUUUCUAUUCCUAUUUAAGCUACUUUAGCAUAUUGAUACAAAUUCAGAAUUGUUUUUGUUAUAUUGUAUAUAUAUUCCUACUUCUGUUUAAGAUAUUUUUGUAUAUUGAUAUUUUGGUAUACUGAUACAAAUGUAAAAUUAUUUUGGUUAUACUGUAUAUAUGUUUCUACUGUUUGGGAUAUUUCAUAUAUUGAUGCAAAUUAAGGUUAUUUUUGCCAUAUUGCAUUAUACAUUUGUACUUCUGGUUAAGAUACUUUUGUAUAUCAGCACAAUUUUGAGGUCAUUGUCCUUAUACUACUGUACAUAUGUUUCUAUCUUUGCUUGUUUAUUUUUAUAAUGUAAAACUUUAAGAAUUACAGGUUAAUAGCCACUCAUUUUUGUCAAACAUAUAGUCAUGUUAGUUAGGUUUUCUUGGUGUGCAAAGAUGUAUUCCAAAUAGGUUAUUACCUUUCUUCUUCUGGACAAUACUUGAUAAUUGUUCUUAUUGUACAUAGUUUUUAUUAUGAUAGAAUUAAACCUUCCUUUUUAUUUUGUACUAAAAAGAAAAAAUGUUGUGGGAAUUUGAUCUGACAGCCAAUUGUAUUGGGGUGGGUUGGCCCAAUAGGAUUGGUCUUCCCUGGGUGUACAUGACCCAAAUACCCGAAUAAAAGGCUAGGGUGGAGGGAAGGAAAAUCUGUUGGGUGUAUAUGAGCUGGCGGUGUUGGAAGAAAUGACAAUGGUAUGUUGGCUGGGUCAGCAGUGGCAGCAGCUUCGUUCUGUGUUGUGAAUGUAUUUUAUUGAUUGGCAUUUGUUAAUAAAUCUGACUUGAUCAGAGAGUUCACUCCCUCUUUACUGGAACACAGAUUAUUUUCAAAUGUCUCCAAAUAAUUGCCAAACAAAUGUUUAAAUUUCAUUUCUGUUGUCAUGGUAAAAAAAAAAAAUAACCGUACAAAAAACGUAAUUAAGAAAGAAAGGGUAUAUUUGAGUUCAAGAGGAAUCAAGGUAGUAGGAACUUGAAAGAGCUAGUCAUAGCAGAAAGAAGAGAGUACUAUAAACAAGAGGAGAACUAAGUGAAAUUUAUACAACAAACAGGGGAUGGGAAGACAGCUCAGUGGGUAAGAGAACGUGCUAUGCAAGCAUGAGAACUUGAAUUCAAAUCUCCAGCAUCCAUGUAAAAAGCCAGGUUUAGCUAUGGCAGCCUCUAAUGCCGGAUUUGUAAGGAACAGAGACAAGAGGACCACUGAUGCUUGCUGGUUGCAAUACCAAUUAAUAUACCAACAUGGAUGUGAGAAAGCACACAGCGCCCUACCCCUGGAAAAGCUACAAGCAAUUCAUGGCUGCUAGGAGAGAGUCUUCUCCAGGGACAAGGUCAGUCAAGCCUAAAAGAUUUUCCCCUUUAGAAUCCUCUGGCAGCGAUUCUUCUGUGUGAUCAGGCUUCUCUCUGUCAGAGAAAAUUUUUUGCUCAAGGGCUAAGGCUUUUUCUUGUGCCUGCCAUCACUUCCUCUGGGCAAUUUUGACUGCUUCUAUUUUACCCCUACAGUUGAAAACCUCAAAGCAAACUCUCAAAACAUGAUUUCGGGGUGCUAGGGUCCCAUUGUCCACUUUUGUAUCUUUCUUCUAAUGUCUACAACAGAUUAAAUGGGGAAGUAAUCACCUAGCAAAAUUUGACCCUUGGAAGUGUUUAAAUUGCCAACUUAAUCUCACAAUGCUGUUUUUAGUGUUUCAUUUUCCAAAACUGCUUGUUGUGAUAUGCCUUACCCUCCUGGUUUUACCAUUUUCUUUUUCCAUUUUGGAAUAAUUGUAUACUUUUAGUGCAAAAUUAUUUUACCAUACAAAAUACUUUCUCAUCUAAAAUGAUUUUUUCCCUUUAUCCUUUUCUUCAUGACCUUCCAAGUAUACCUACAAUAUUCCAUACCUGCAAUAUUAUAUUGUUU